GUUAAUAAAAAGUAAGAUCAAGAAGGAAAUUGGAAAAACCUUAUGAGAAGCGGUUAUUUGAAACCAAAUGUUACAAGUUGAAUUGAAGAAGAAGGCCAUGUUAGUUAUUUAGUAGUCAUUUAUAUUUUUUUACAGUCAGUAUAUAUGAGUCAGCAUGUUAGUUAUUUUGUUGAAAACUUGACAGCUGGUUGUCAGUAUAUAUGAGUCAGCAUGUUGGUUAUUUUGUUGAAAAUUUGACAGCUGGUGUAACAAUGAUUACAGAACUAUUACAAAAGGAGGUGGUUACAGGAGGAAAUACAAUUUUACACCCAUUUCCUAUAUUCUAGAAUUUCUUCCUAUCUCUCUUCUUCCUUCUCUCCUUACCUCUAUUUCUGAAAUUUUAGCUACUAGAAAUUUGAGUUUUCACAGAGGAGUUGAGCUAACAGUGGUUCGAUUGAGCAGCAUCAUUCUUGGUAUCAGAGCCUCGGUUCUUGGCAAUGACAGAGGGUAUGACAACUAGGUUACAGAGAGACAUGGGCCAGAUGCAAAAGGAGCUGGAGAGGGUGGAGGCCCAAUUUGACACCUCUAUCAAGCAACUUAAUGAUAAGAUUGAUUCCUUUGCAGAAGAAAUGCGUGGCAUGUUUGAAAAUAUCAUGAACAGCAGGCAAAGCUCACUUCAAGAAGUUGAGAUAGGAGAUUCAACAGCACCAUCAGCUAGGAAACAGAAAUCUGUCGUGGGUGAUGUGGAAGGUAGCAGGGUCAUUAUUCAUAGACCCAUUUUCGCUGAAGCAGAGGAAGUUGCAAGGGUACCAACCAAGUCCUCUAAGUUGGAAUGCCCAAAAUUUGAUGGAGACGAUUUCAGGAGAUGGUUGUUGAAGAUCGAACAAUUUUUUGAAGCUGAUCAAACUCGGGAAAAUGAGAAAGUGAGGACUAUGAUGAUGCAUUUGGAGGGACCAGCUUUACAGUGGCAUCAGAGGUUCAUGAAGAAUCAAGGAAGUCUUCAAGAGGUAAGCUGGCUCACUUAUGUUACUGAGAUGAAGACUAGAUUUGCAGAAACUAAGUUCUUUGAUCCUAUGUUAGAAAUGGUGGUGUUGAAGCAACACAAUACUGUUGAUGAAUUUUAUAAGGAGUUUGAAAGUUUAUUAAAUUUACUCUCCAUUUCUGAUGACAAUGCUCUCAGUAUAUUUUUGGGAAAUUUGAAGCCUGAGAUUUCUAAGCCUGUUAGAAUGUUUUAUCCUAAAUCCUUAAGCCAUGCUUACCAGUUGGCCAAACAGAUGGAGUCCCUAAUAUACAAUGUGCCCAGAAAACCUUAUAUACCUUACAAGAAUCCUAUAACAACUCCUAUAUCCCAUAAUAAUCCUUAUACCUCUAAAACUACAUUACCCCCACUGUUACCAACCCCAAAAAACCCUUUCUUAAAUUACAACCAGCCUACUACAUCAACCGACUCCAUAAAUACCUACAAACCCACAACCAGUAAACCUGAGUCAACUCUAGUAAAAUACAAUGUUAUCAAAAUACCAAACUGGAAGGAAAGAGAUGACAGGAGGAAGAAAGGACUUUGUAUGUGGUGUGGGAUUAAGUUUACACCAGGCCACAGGUGUGUUAAGGCUCAAUUGUACCAGAUGUUUACAGAGGAAAGGGAAGACAAUAAUAAUGAUACUGAGGAGUUUUGUGAUUGUGUAGACAAUCUGGAGGAGAUUGGAGAGGAAGCCCAUGAAUUACAAAACAGGCAUGUCAUCUCUUUACAUGCUUUAAUUGGAGUUGAAGGUCAUACGACCAUGAGAUUAUAUGGUCGAAUACCAAUCAGUAGUGUUCUUGGUUGACUCUGGAAGUACCCAUAAUUUCAUUGAUCAAUUAUUGAUUAAGAAACUGGGAUUUAACAAUCAGAAGAUCGCUAGAAUCAGUGUCACUGUAGCUAAUGGUAACAAAUUAUUAACUCAGGAUGUAUGUAAAGCAUUGACUUGGGAGGUUCAAGGCCUAGUCCAACAUACUGAUUUCUUUAUGCUACCUUUAAUGGGCUGUGAAGCAGUACUUGGGGUGCAAUGGCUCCAGACACUAGGGCCUAUUCUAUGGGAUUUUUCCUUGCUGACCAUGCAAUUUGCUGUAGCAAACAACUGGUAUAAACUACAAGGAAUAGAGGCUGCUCAGGUACAUAUGGCUACAAGUAAGCAAUUUGCUAAGUUGAAGGUGGUUAGUAAGACAAGUGGACUAAUGAUGAUAUCUGGUUUGGAGUUUCUCAGUCUCGAGAUGAGUUACACCAGUUUAGUCAACAAACUGAAUUACCACAUGAUUUGCAGGAAUUGUUACUACGAUACUCUCUAGUCUUAGAGACACCUACAAAUUUACCUCCAUCAAGGCCUCAAGAUUGUAAGAUACCUUUGAUAAAUGAAUCUCAACCUGUAAAGAUUAAGCCUUAUAGGUACCCAAUUGUACAAAAAAAUGAGAUUGAGAAGAUAGUAGCAGAAAUGAAAGAGGCUGGAAUUAUAAGAGAUAGCAACAGUUCAUUCGCAUCUCCAGUGGUUCUAGUGAAAAAGAAAGAUGGCUCGUGGAGGCUUUGUGUGACUACAGGCAGUUGAACAAUAUCACACUUAAAGAUAAGUUUCCCAUUCCUUUAAUAGAAGAGUUGUUAGAUGAAUUAUCUGCUGCUUGCUGGUUCUCUAAGCUGGAUCUCAGAUCUGGUUAUCACCAGAUUCGAAUGGAUCCUGCAGAUAUUCAUAAAACAGCUUUCAGGACUCAUAAGAGAUAGCAACAGUUCAUUCGCAUCUCCAGUGGUUCUAGUGAAAAAGAAAGAUGGCUCGUGGAGGCUUUGUGUGACUACAGGCAGUUGAACAAUAUCACACUUAAAGAUAAGUUUCCCAUUCCUUUAAUAGAAGAGUUGUUAGAUGAAUUAUCUGCUGCUUGCUGGUUCUCUAAGCUGGAUCUCAGAUCUGGUUAUCACCAGAUUCGAAUGGAUCCUGCAGAUAUUCAUAAAACAGCUUUCAGGACUCAUAAGAGAUAGCAACAGUUCAUUCGCAUCUCCAGUGGUUCUAGUGAAAAAGAAAGAUGGCUCAUGGAGGCUUUGUGUGGACUACAGGCAGUUGAACAAGAUCACACUUAAAGAUAAGUUUCCCAUUCCUUUAAUAGAAGAGUUGUUAGAUGAAUUAUCUGCUGCUUGCUGGUUCUCUAAGCUGGAUCUCAGAUCUGGUUAUCACCAGAUUCGAAUGGAUCCUGCAGAUAUUCAUAAAACAGCUUUCAGGACUCACCAAGGGCACUAUGAGUUUCUGGUCAUGCCCUUUGAAUUGACUAGUGCACCUUCUACAUUUCAAAGUUUAAUGAAUAGUGUAUUCCAGCCUUUCCUUAGAAAAUUUGUAUUGGUGUUCUUUGAUGAUAUCAUGGUUUAUUCAUCAAACUGGAAUGAUCAUUUAGCACAUUUGCAGCAGGCAUUUGAUGUAUUAGUCAGCAACCAUUUAUUUGCUAAGCUUUCAAAGUGUGACUUUGGUGCUACUCAAAUUGAGUAUUUGGGGCAUGUGAUCAGUAAGGGGAUAGUUGCUAUGGACAGUACUAAGGUUGAAUGUGUUAAACAGUGGCCAAUGCUUGAGUCUGUUAAAGAAUUAAGAGGAUUCUUGGGCCUCACUGGGUAUUAUCGCAGGUUCAUUAAGGGAUAUGGAACUAUGGCAAAACCAUUGACUGAUUUACUGAAGAAAAAUGCCUUUAAUUGGCAAGAAACAGCAACAAUAGCUUUUGAAAAGCUCAAGCAAGCUGUAAUAUCAGCUCCUGUUCUAGCACUACCAGAUUUCAACUCAACUUUUGUAGUUGAGUCAGAUGCUUCAAGUUGUGGAAUUGGUGCUGCAUUGAGUCAAAAUGGUAGGCCAGUUGCUUAUUUUAGCAAAGCUUUAUCUCCUAAACAUCAGGCACUGUCUAUCUAAGAAAAGGAGAUGUUGGCCAUAUUAGCUGCAGUGAAGAAAUGGAGUGCGUAUUUAACUGGAAGGCAUUUCCAGAUAAAAACAGAUCACCAAAGUCUCAAAUUUUUGCUGGACCAGAAAACAAACAUGCCUGCUCAACAACUUUGGGUUGUCAAGAUGAUGGGAUUUCAUUAUGAACUUGUCUACAGGAAGGGCUCUACCAACAUGGCAGCCGAUGCUCUUUCUCGAAAUCCUGCAGCCUUGUUAUAUGCUUUAUCUUUUGUAGCUAAUGAUAUAAUGGCUAGGAUUAAACAGUCUUGGUUGAAAGAUCCAAUGUUGAUACAUUUGCUACAUAAGCUCAAGAACAACCCAGGACAGUCUCCUAAGUGCACUUGGCAAGCAGGUCAGUUGAGAAGGAAGGGAAAACUUAUGGUGGGAGCUGAUUCAGAGUUAAGGAAGGAUUUAUUGACAUUUUUUCAUGAUUCACUGGAUGGAGGGCAUUCUGGAGUAGAGGCAACUAUGAGGAGAAUAGCUAAUGUGGUAUAUUGGAGAGGAAUGAAAAAAGCAGUUCGGCAGCAUGUCAAAGAAUGCACAAUUUGUCAGAAAUGCAAACAUGAAACUGUCUCUCCAGGUUUGUUACAACCUUUACCAAUUCCUGAUAAGAUAUGGGCUGAUGUGUCUAUGGAUUUUAUAGAAGGUUUGCCUAAGUCAUUUGAGAAAGAUGUUAUAAUGGUGGUAGUGGAUAGGUUAAGUAAAUAUGCCCAUUUUAUCACUCUGGCUCAUCCUUUCACUGCCAUUACAGUUGCUCAAGCCUAUCUAGACAAUGUGUACAAGUUGCAUGGAGUACCUAAUACCAUUGUUUCUGACAGAGAUAGGAUUUUCACUAGUUCAUUUUGGAAGGAAUUGUUCAAAUUAUUGGGAACCAAGCUAAAAAUGUCUACUGCUUAUCACCCUCAAACAGAUGGACAGUCUGAAGUGCUCAACAGAUGUUUGGAGACAUAUCUAAGGUGCAUGACAGGAGAACAACCUAAGCACUGGUCCAAAUGGAUCUCUUUAGCAGAAUGGUGGUAUAGCACUAGUUUUCACACUUCCAUUAAGACUACACCAUAUGAGGCAGUCUAUGGUCAACCUCCUCCCAUUCAUCGACCAUAUCUACCUGGAGAUUCUAAAGUGGAUGAACUGGAUAGAAGUUUGCAAGCGAGAAAGGCCACAAUCAAAAUUUUGAAAUUUCAUUUGGAUAGGGCUUGAAAUAGAAUGAAGCAGCAAGCUGACAGACACAGGGUUGAUAGGCAAUUUGAGAUUGCUGAUUUAGUUUAUGUUAAGCUCCAGCCAUACAGACAACAAUCUGUCGCAAUAGGUCUUGUUUUAAGCUAGCUGCUAGGUACUUUGGCCCUUACAAGGUGUUGGAGAAGAUAGGAGGACCUGUUGCCUACAAACUAGAAUUGCCUGCUGAAGCCAAAAUUCAUCCUGUCUUCCAUAUUUCACAGUUGAAGAAGCACAUUGGGAAGGUUCCAACACAAUCUAAUCUUCCAACGAUUGAUGCAGAUGGAAUGGUGGCCAAGGAACCAGUGGCAGUUCUAGAUAGAAGACUGACUAAGAAAAGAGGUAGAGCAACCUGGGAAGGAUUAUAUGAGCUACAGAAAAAGUUUCCUUGCUUCAAUACUUGAGAACAAGGAUUAUUUCGAGGGGAAGGUAGUUGUUACAAGUUGAAUUGAAGAAGAAGAAGGCCAUGUUAGUCAUUUAGUAGUCAUUUAUAUUUUUUUUACAGUCAGUAUAUAUGAGUCAGCAUGUUAGUUAUUUUGUUAAAAAUUUGACAGCUGGUGUAACAAUGACUACAGAACUAUUACAAAAGGAGGUGGUUACAGGAGGAAAUACAAUUUUACACUCAUUUCCUAUAUUCUAGAAUUUCUUCCUCUCUUCUUCCUUCUCUCCUUACCUCUAUUUCUGAAAUUUUAGCUACUAGAAAUUUGAGUUUUCACAGAGGAGUUGAGCUGACAGUGGUUCGAUUGAGCAAAAUCACCAAAAAAGAAAAAAAUAAAAACCUC
This 5908-nucleotide long non-coding RNA is filed under the name Durio zibethinus. RNAcentral's name for it is "long non-coding RNA (DZIB_LNC000353)". The record is from RNAcentral. Lineage: Eukaryota; Viridiplantae; Streptophyta; Magnoliopsida; Malvales; Malvaceae.